RNAcentral lists this long non-coding RNA (644 nucleotides) under Drosophila melanogaster (fruit fly). Its description in RNAcentral is "long non-coding RNA:CR46115 (Dmel_CR46115)". The record is from RNAcentral. Lineage: Eukaryota; Metazoa; Arthropoda; Insecta; Diptera; Drosophilidae.
CAUGAAUCUGAAGUUCCAGGAAUGCCUAAAGUCAAGGAACGAUCCUUUCAAUUAGCCGACUGAGCCCUUCUCCAAGGUAUGACAAAUUUACCUCCAUCUCCUCCCAGGACGACUGCUGAGAAAUGGCAAUUUCCUGCGACUGUGACUGAGUCCACACACAUGUGCUUCUGAGUCCGACUUCUCGACAUGUCCUGGAGUCUGGACCUCUCGUCCUGUUUUCCGUCUGCCUCCUGGCCGCAAAAUUGGUAAUUUUCUAGUACAUUUAUUUCCACAUGUCAGGCCAGUCAAGUUGGUAACUCCAGACCGCAUCUUCAUGUUGAUGGACAUGUGAGUGGGCCUCCAUGAGAUGGGACAGUGGUAGGCUUACGAACCGGAUGCCGGAAUUGUUGCAGGCUUUUAAGAUUGGCAGAUUGGGUCAGCCCUGGUUGAGUGUCCUCUCGAGUUCGAGCUCGAACCAUGUGAAAAUGGGUUUCUAAAUAUGCCUUCGGUCUGGCCUAAUGCCCUGGCAUUAAUUCUCGAGGAGCGGAGAACUUCAUUAUUGAUUGGCUGGCAAAAGGGGUUUUUGUUUUGAGGUGGGGGACUCUGACUCAUCUACUUAGCUAUACAGGCACAAAUAUUUGUUGGACCAAGCUUUUAAUUCGCUU